GCCGGUAGCGGGGUCUCGGGCGCCGGCAGCGCAGCGAGGUUCCCGGGGCCGGGCCGGGCCGGGAGCGGGUCCAUGGGCCGAGUCCUGCCGCGCUGCGGGGCGGCGCUGGGCCUGGCGCUGCGCCUGCUGCUGCUGCUGGGGGCUGUAGCCCUGCGGGGGGGCCACUCCCGCCUGCACUCCAGGCGCGUAUUGGACACAGUGGUGUCGGAGCCCGGCCCGGGGCUGCCCUGGUACAGCCGUGUUGUGUACGUGGACGAUCAAGUCAUCUACGUCUACACCAGCGGGAUGCAGAAGGCAGAGCCUCGCCCAGUGUGGAUGGCGCAGAACGAGGGCCCGGAGUUCUGGGAGGAGAGGACCUGGUGGGCACAGCGCCACCAGAAAUGGUUCAAAGCCAGUCUGAACACCCUGGGUCAGCUCUACAACCAGAGUGAGGGGUUUCACAUUAUCCAGAUGAAAUACGGCUGUGAUCUCCGGGAAGACAACACCACUUGGGGGUUUUACCAGGAUUCCUAUGACGGGCGAGACUUUCUUACCUUCGAUAUGGAGACCAUGACUUUAGGAGCAGCAGAUAUUGGGGCUCAGAUCACCAAAAGGAGAUGGGAUGCUGAAGUAUUUGACAACCAGCAGUGGAAACGCUACUUGGAGGAGAGAUGUAUCCCCUGGCUAAGACGUUCUCUAGAGUACGGGAAGGAGACUCUCCAGAGGAAAGUGCGCCCAACAGCUAGAGUGAGUGACAGGUCAUCUCAUGACGGCCUCACCACCCUCUCCUGUAAGGUCAGUGGGUUCUACCCACGGGACAUCACCGUGACCUGGCUGAAAAAUGGGGAGAGCAGAGAGCAGGUGACCUACUCUGAAGGCAUCCUACCCAGUGGGGAUGGGACCUACCAGACCUGGGUGGCAAUGGAGAUUGACCCCACGAUCAAAGCCCAUUAUUCAUGUCACGUGGAGCAUGAAAGCCUGUUAGAGCCACUCUCUGUCCCCUGGGAACCAAAUAACAGUCUGAUUCCCAUUGUGGCUGGAGUUAUCACUGCAGUUGUCCUGGUUGGUGUUAUAAUCGGAGUAGUCGUCUGGAAAAAGAAACGCCCAGGGAGAAAGGGAGACGCUACGCUGUAGCUCAGGGAAGUAACAAGAAAUAACAACAAGAACAACACAAGUAUGUGUUGGAGCAAAUGACCAGGGAUCUAGUGGCUCUGCCGUGGCUGCCAAGGCUUAACAGAGCCUGUUGGAGUCUGUGCCACAACCUGAGGGGAUCCCAGAGAGGAAGAUGGAUGAGCUCUGCUCUGUCUCCCUACAAGAACCAAUCAGCCUCUCCCUAGCUUUUGCCUGGCACUUGGAGCAUCCUGCGUGGGAUUUCUAGGCUCAUCUCUCUGCUCACUGACCCGUUUUUGCUUUUCAGAUGUAAUAGUUUUCUGUAAUAAUGUUUUAUUUGCAGAAAAUAAUUUCCAAAAAUUUAAUGGAUAAAAACCCCUUUAGUAAGAGUUUAAUAUUUGCUAUCUUUAGUGUGUGCACUCAGUGCUCUGUGCUGUGCUGUGCUGUUUGCACACCCUGUACCAUAUGCUAGAUAUGUGAGCAGUAACUGCUUGUGUUUAUAUGGUGGGGGAUGUAUUUUUUUUCUGUAGAAUUUCAUGAUUAUAAGAUGGUAAAUGCCCUUGUAUACUCACAGCUGGUAGCGCUGUUGCCAUCAUCAGCUGAGGACAUCUGUUGGACAGGAAUAAGUGUCUGCAAUUAGUUUAUAGGUGCCUCUGUCCUUUUCACCAUUCACAGAGCCAUAGAAAUGCUGAGCUAGAAGGGACCUCAAGAGGUCAUCAAGUCCCGCCCGUGAUCUCGGGCAGCACCAAGUAAACCUAGACCAUCCCUGACAGGUGUUUGUCCAACCUGUUCUUAAAAGCCUCCAAUGAUGGGGAUUCCACAUCCUCUCUAGGCAACCUGAAAUGGGGCAUUUUUCUAACGUUGCAUAUGUAUACUGUGUGUGCCUUAGUUUUCCCCAUGUGCUGCAUGUCUAGCCAAGGUGGGAGGGGGCGUCUAUUGUUGCAGGGAACAAGGUGUGACCCAGUCCAGCAGCCUGAACCCCAGACCAUGGCCUGGACACUUUGUAACUUAGCGACUGAUGACCCAAAGGCCCAUCCCAACUUGGAGCCAGCCAGUUUUGGGCAGCAGAGAGAACAAAGAGCUGAAGAGAGAGUCUUUGCCUAGGAAAGAAGACAAAGGAUGGAGGUGGGGCCUUGGAGGUGACACAGGGUGGGCCGCAGAAAGGAGGAGUCACUUCUGGGCUGGGAACAAAGAGCGGCCUGAGCCCACCUGGACGGGGACAGACCCAGAUGGACGCCCCUGAGAACGUCUUGUGCUGUGCUCCAGACGUACAAUAAACACUUCUGUGUUGCACUGGCUGAGAAUCACUGCAGGCUAGAGAGAGGCAGGCCUGCUGGAGGCUUAGAUGUGCAGUAUUGGGAGGUGGAGGAGAAGCCUACAGCUUAAACCCCGAGCAAAGAGUGUGACCUUACGUAGGGUCAGUACUCUGAAGGGCGGUUCCUUCCAGGGGCCAUACGGCACCAAGAGAGCACUGGCCUGAGAGUCUGUGACAACCUGUUCCACAGUGAACUGUCCUUAUAGCUAGAAAGUUUUUCCUAAUGUCUAACCUAAAUUCCCCCUUCUCCUACUAUCAGUGCAAUUGGAGAACAAUUGAUCACCAUCCUCUUCAUAGCAGCCCUUAAUGCAGGGGUAGUUUAAUUAUUUUUUGUCAAGGUCCAAAUUUCUUGGUCCAGAUAUAGUCACGGUCCAGAAUCAAGAGAAACAUUUUUCACACCACAAGUGCCCCUGUUCAAUGAACACACACACAAUGCUGUGAAAUGUACCCAGGGCCUAUAUUGUUUAUAUUUUAGUGCAUUAAAUGAAAAAUAAAACCAAAUCCUUGUACAGCCUAAAAUAACCUCUAAGAAAGAUGUAAUUUAUCUGAAACUUUGAGAAAGUAUUUAGAAAAAUGUCAAAUACAUGCAAAUAUUAGCAUUAAACUGUUGCCUGAAAGUA
RNA transcript from Mauremys reevesii (Reeves's turtle), 3024 nucleotides. It is a transcript of the gene named class I histocompatibility antigen, F10 alpha chain-like, with no coding region annotated. Lineage: Eukaryota; Metazoa; Chordata; Testudines; Geoemydidae. The record is from RefSeq and is a predicted model, not a curated record. The transcript has 9 exons.